GGUUAACGCUGGCGGCGUGCCUAACACAUGCAAGUCGAACGGUUCUAAGCGCGAGCUUAGGAUAGUGGCGAACGGGUGAGUAAAAGGUAGGAAUCUACCCCUUGGACGGAGAUAGCUACUGGAAACGGUAGGUAAACUUCGAUAAGCCCGAGAGGGGAAAGUGGUGAGACAGCCGAGGGAUGAGCCUACUCUCCAUCAGGUAGUUGGUGAGAUAAAAGCUUACCAAGCCGAUGACGGAUAACCGGUGUGAGAGCAUGAACGGUCACAAGGGCACUGAGAGACGGGCCCUACUCCUACGGGAGGCAGCAGUGGGGAAUCUUGGACAAUGGGCGAAAGCCUGAUCCAGCGACGCCGCGUGGAGGAAGAAGUCCUUCGGGAUGUAAACUUCUGAACUAGCCGAAUAAAAGGCCUGUGGACACACAGGAGAAGAAAGUAGGCUAGGAAAAGUCCUGGCUAACUACGUGCCAGCAGCCGCGGUAAGACGUAGGGGGCAAGCGUUACCCGGAAUUACUGGGCGUAAAGGGGGCGUAGGCGGUAAAAGAAGUCAUCUGUGAAAACCUAUUGCUCAACGAUAGGCUAGCGGAUGAAACUGAAUUACUUGAGGGCACCAGAGGUAGACGGAAUUACCCGAGUAGGGGUGAAAUCCGCAGAUACGGGUAGGAACGCCGGUGGAGAAGUCGGUCUACUGGGGUGCACCAGACGCUGAGGCCCGAAAGCUAGGGGAGCAAACCGGAUUAGAUACCCGGGUAGUCCUAGCCGUAAACGAUGCUCACUAGGUGUAGGGAGUGAUAAACUCUCUGUGCUGAAGCGAACGCGCUAAGUGAGCCGCCUGGGGAGUACGUCCGCAAGGAUGA
This 854-nucleotide ribosomal RNA is filed under the name uncultured bacterium. Its description in RNAcentral is "bacterial SSU rRNA". It matches the Rfam family "Bacterial small subunit ribosomal RNA", at positions 28 to 897 of the family's 1533-position model. The record is from RNAcentral.